UACGUAGGGUGCAAGCGUUAAUCGGAAUUACUGGGCGUAAAGCGUGCGCAGGCGGUUUUGUAAGUCUGAUGUGAAAUCCCCGGGCUCAACCUGGGAAUUGCAUUGGAGACUGCAAGGCUAGAAUCUGGCAGAGGGGGGUAGAAUUCCGAGUGUAGCAGUGAAAUGCGUAGAGAUGUGGAGGAACACCGAUGGCGAAGGCAGCCCCCUGGGUCAAGAUUGACGCUCAUGCACGAAAGCGUGGGGAGCAAACAGG
This 253-nucleotide ribosomal RNA is filed under the name uncultured bacterium. RNAcentral's name for it is "partial 16S ribosomal RNA". It matches the Rfam family "Bacterial small subunit ribosomal RNA", at positions 524 to 776 of the family's 1533-position model. The record is from RNAcentral.